This 253-nucleotide ribosomal RNA is filed under the name uncultured bacterium. RNAcentral's name for it is "partial 16S ribosomal RNA". It matches the Rfam family "Bacterial small subunit ribosomal RNA", at positions 524 to 776 of the family's 1533-position model. The record is from RNAcentral.
UACGGAGGGGGCUAGCGUUGUUCGGAUUUACUGGGCGUAAAGAGCGCGCAGGCGGUCGUUCAAGUCGAGUGUGAAAGCCCCCGGCUCAACUGGGGAGGGUCAUUCGAUACUGAUCGACUCGAAGGCAGGAGAGGGAAAUGGAAUUCCCGGUGUAGUGGUGAAAUGCGUAGAUAUCGGGAGGAACACCAGUGGCGAAGGCGACUUCCUGGCCUGUUCUUGACGCUGAGGCGCGAAAGCUAGGGGAGCAAACGGG